This 68-nucleotide transfer RNA is filed under the name Erythrocebus patas (red guenon). RNAcentral's name for it is "tRNA-Asp". The record is from RNAcentral. Lineage: Eukaryota; Metazoa; Chordata; Mammalia; Primates; Cercopithecidae.
GAGAUAUUAGAAAAACUAUUUCAUGGCUUUGUCAAAGCCAAGUUACAGACUAAGUCCUGUAUAUCUUA